Molecule: ribosomal RNA, 497 nt
Filed under: uncultured Ralstonia sp.
Lineage: Bacteria; Pseudomonadati; Pseudomonadota; Betaproteobacteria; Burkholderiales; Burkholderiaceae
Description: bacterial SSU rRNA
Rfam family: Bacterial small subunit ribosomal RNA
Source: RNAcentral
AUCCAGCAAUGCCGCGUGUGUGAAGAAGGCCUUCGGGUUGUAAAGCACUUUUGUCCGGAAAGAAAUGGCUCUGGCUAAUACCUGGGGUGGAUGACGGUACCGGAAGAAUAAGCACCGGCUAACUACGUGCCAGCAGCCGCGGUAAUACGUAGGGUGCGAGCGUUAAUCGGAAUUACUGGGCGUAAAGCGUGCGCAGGCGGUUGUGUAAGACCGAUGUGAAAUCCCCGGGCUUAACCUGGGAAUUGCAUUGGUGACUGCAGGGCUAGAGUGUGUGAGAGGCGGGGGGAAUUCCAGGUGUAGCAGUGAAAUGCGUAGAGAUGUGGAGGAAUACCGAUGGCGAAGGCAGCCCCCUGGGAUAACACUGACGCUCAUGCACGAAAGCGUGGGGAGCAAACAGGAUUAGAUACCCUGGUAGUCCACGCCCUAAACGAUGUCAACUGGUUGUUGGGGAUUCAUUUCCUUAGUAACGUAGCUAACGCGUGAAGUUGACCGCCUGG